ACACUAGUGGUUUGCUUGAGGCAAACAUGUCCUCCCUUUUUCUAGGUACAAUCACAGACUUUUAUAAUAAUUCGGACACAAGAUUCUUCUCCUCCCCUCUGUCCAGUCCCACAGAAGUCAAGGUGGGUGGGGGGAGCUGUGAUGUUUACAGUCUUGAGCACUUGAUUUUCAAUAUUACAUACCCCUAAAGACCUCCUUGAUCAAGGAAAAAACCCAUGACUAUGAUGGGAUUCCCAACUUGGGACAAAAAAAGAAACUUUUGAAACUCAUUGUACUUCCCCUCCUUCAGCUUUCUUCUCAGGGUACAGAUAAAUCCUUCUCAAGGCUUUUGAAAAUAGGUCAGGAAAACUAAAACUUUUAUGGGGUGGGGUGGGGGAGGUAGUUUUAGUCUACAGAACAGUAAUAUUAAGGGGUCUUGAGAAUUAGGGUUACAAGCCAAAUACUACCCUGAGAAUUACACACUGAAUCUCAUCCCCUUCUUUUAUUUCACUCAGUAAGAGUUCAGCACAAAAGUCUUCCACUAUAAUUUAUUUAUCCAUUCUUUAGUCUAUGAGCAUUCCUCUGUAUUUUAACCCCUUAGGCAAUAUUAUUUGUAAUCACCAGACAUCUUCUUUUGAAAGAUUAUAGAUUAUGCUAAUGACAUUCAUUAUCCAUGAUCUAAGGCAGUGACUCUUGUGAAGAAGGGACUAGACAUUUCUACCAACUGCCAUCAACUGUCACUGAGACAAAGCAGGCAAAUCUAGUUGAGGCAGUGAGCCCCUACCCACCUCCUGAUCACUUCCUACCCCCAACAGAGAUGGAGGCAGCAUCCUCCAGGGAAAAAGCCAACAGCACUUCCCUUCAGACCCUGAUGAAGGACUCUGGGCCUGAGCCAGUGUCCCACUUACCCACAAGAGCCAUUGUGAAAGGGAACAAUCAUGAUGGAGAAAGGGUGGAUAUUUCUCAUCAUUACCAUCACCAACACCUGACCAACUGCCAUCAACUGAAAGAUUCCUGGGGAAAGCUGUCAUCACACCAAGAUUUAUCGGUAACACCGCUACCUUACCCAGACUCUUGA
This 1057-nucleotide long non-coding RNA is filed under the name Monodelphis domestica (gray short-tailed opossum). RNAcentral's name for it is "lncRNA (ENSMODG00000049704.1)". Lineage: Eukaryota; Metazoa; Chordata; Mammalia; Didelphimorphia; Didelphidae. The record is from RNAcentral.